This 469-nucleotide ribosomal RNA is filed under the name uncultured bacterium. RNAcentral describes it as "partial 16S ribosomal RNA". It matches the Rfam family "Bacterial small subunit ribosomal RNA", at positions 27 to 507 of the family's 1533-position model. The record is from RNAcentral.
GGACGAACGCUGGCGGCGUGCUUAACACAUGCAAGUCGAACGGAAAGGCCCUGCUUUUGUGGGGUGCUCGAGUGGCGAACGGGUGAGUAACCCGUGAGUAACCUUCCCUUGACUUUGGGAUAACUUCAGGAAGCUGGGGCUAAUACCGGAUAGGAGCUCCUGCUGCCUGGUGGGGGUUGGAAAGUUUCGGCGGUUGGGGAUGGACUCGCGGCUUAUCAGCUUGUUGGUGGGGUAGUGGCUUACCAAGGCUUUGACGGGUAGCCGGCCUGCGAGGGUGACCGGCCACAUUGGGACUGAGAUACGGCCCAGACUCCUACGGGAGGCAGCAGUGGGGAAUAUUGCACAAUGGGCGGAAGCCUGAUGCAGCAACGCCGCGUGCGGGAUGACGGCCUUCGGGUUGUAAACCGCUUUCGCCUGUGACGAAGCGUGAGUGACGGUAAUGGGUAAAGAAGCACCGGCUAACUACGUG